This is a non-coding RNA of Schizosaccharomyces pombe (fission yeast), 466 nucleotides long. The record is from the annotation of a GenBank genome assembly. Lineage: Eukaryota; Fungi; Ascomycota; Schizosaccharomycetes; Schizosaccharomycetales; Schizosaccharomycetaceae.
GGGAUUGUUCACGUCCAAGAUGCGUGUUUAUACUCAUAUAUCUCGCAGUCCCCGAGAGGCUUUUACGUUCACUAUAUGGUAUAUGUUGCUUGGUUUUGGGAUCACGGUAAUAUUUGGCCAUACCAAAAUCAACCAUAUAUACCAUGUUUGCAUUUCGAGAGGAAGGUCGGCCUAUUAGGAAAUUAUCGGGUUUGAUGUCUCUAUAAACAAGGUUUUUUUCAUGAAUCGUCUGAACUCUGGAAAGCUUUGAAAUGUCAGAGAAAAUUUAAACAAAUUGAAAACCUUAUAGGAACAACUUAGGAAACUUACCAUCUGUUUCGCCGUCAUAGCCACCGUUUUGACACUGAAUCGACGACCGCACCAUUCAAAUAGGUCCUCUAAACUAGGUCCCAGUAAAUCAAUAACAAGGAUAUUAUGUAGUCCUUCCUGCCCGAAAUAGUAAACAUUAGGAAUGCCAGCUAUUUGC